Molecule: long non-coding RNA, 1487 nt
Organism: Pungitius pungitius (ninespine stickleback)
Lineage: Eukaryota; Metazoa; Chordata; Actinopteri; Perciformes; Gasterosteidae
Exons: 3
Source: RefSeq, a predicted model, not a curated record
GACAGCAGAGGAGACAAAGGCGAGAGAAAUCAACAGUGAUAUUCUUGGACUGGAUGUGAGGCGAUGACUCUCAUCCUGUGUUCUGGACCACAGAUCAAAGAAGGAACGGACUCCACAGAUCUACCAGGGCUGCACGGAUGCAGAAGACACGCAGGCAGGCAGGGAGUGGAGUGGGAAGGGCAGAUCAUAGAUUACAGUUCUUCCCUUUUCUGUGAGGGCAGUAAAAAAGACGGACGGAAAAGCUUGACUGUGAAGAAUUUUGGAUCCUCGGUGGAACAAUACGUGUCCAUUCCAUUGGGAAGGAAUGGGCACACGUUCGAAGGCUCCGCUAAGGGUCAGGAUUGAUAUGAGGGCGAGGGCCUUUGUCAGGUGAGGUGUAAUCAUCCUUUUGAGUUAUGAGUGGCAGCCAGCUGGGCAGCUGAUGGUCCAGAGAUAAGAAAAUGGUUUGGCUGAAAAAUAUCGAAAGGCAAACACACGCACACCACCAUCAUCCACCUGGAGGGAGAAAGAUGCGCGGAUGAUACCAUCAUCCGGCUCCUGGUUCAGGAAGGAAAGGGUUGUUUCAGAGGAACUGACUAAUGCGCCCUACACGCUCUGCAUGGGAUGAAAGCUGCUCGUGAAAUGUCACAGAAAGGCUGCACGCUUGUGAGCGCACACACACACAUGUAACUGCUGCUACUACUACUACUACUGCAAGAUCAAUAUUUUAGAACAGCAUGACUGUGAUGUUCAGAUUAUCGGAUGACUCAACGAAUGCCAAGCAACACGUGGCUGUGCUGGAAUGACUUCCUUUACUUUCGGUUGUCCAAACUGCACUGAAAACAGAGUCAGGGCUGACUGCUGAAAGAGGAUGUUAUGAGUCUAUGUAUGUAGAGUUAUUAAGUAAGGAAGUGAAAACCAAAUGCAGAAACAGAAUGCAAUUUCUUUGCUUACUUUUUUAUCAGUCAUAUUGCCGUCCAAAAUGAAGAUUACGACAGAAUUAGGGGUUCUGGCUGCAGUUGGUUUGAGAUCAGUGACUCUGGUGGGUGUUUUAGAACUGAGCGUUACUAAGUGAUAUAAUUAUGGCAGCUGGAGAGAACUUAUUAAAAGCAAAGUUAUAGCACAGUACAUAAGGUGGAGAGGCGGUGUACCCAAUCUGCCAAAGACAUCCAUGAAAGGCAGGGAAGCCAAUCCUGAGAAAAAAAAAUGUCAUCCUGCAAUUCGAGGAAGAUCUUUAUACAUUGUUUUGUUAAAUAAACACACUCUAAACUCUGAUCCACCACUGUGGAUGUGAAUUUAUUUCAGCAGGUGCUGGAAAACACCACAAUGGAUGGAGAGAAUAUACAAGGAUGGAUGUACUAGGAAAGGAGGAAUACAUUUUAAUGUUGUUUGCCCAGAUAAAUAAAAAAUAAAAAUAGCCUGCACCCAAAGAUGGCGUACAGGGAUUGUGUACCGCACCACCCCCCACCCCACCCUACUGCACCUCAACACACACACACACACACACA